GAUGAACGCUAGCGGGAGGCUUAACACAUGCAAGUCGAGGGGCAGCAUAGGGUAGCAAUACUCUGAUGGCGACCGGCAAACGGGUGAGUAACGCGUAUGCAACCUACCCUGUACAGGGGGAUAACCCGGAGAAAUUCGGACUAAUAUCCCGUAAUAAUAUCCGGAGGCAUCUUUGGAUAUUUAAAGUUCCGACGGUACGGGAUGGGCAUGCGUAACAUUAACUGGUUGGUAAGGUAACGGCUUACCAAGGCUAUGAUGUUUAGGGGUCCUGAGAGGGUGGUCCCCCACACUGGUACUGAGACACGGACCAGACUCCUACGGGAGGCAGCAGUGAGGAAUAUUGGUCAAUGGGCGCAAGCCUGAACCAGCCAUCCCGCGUGCAGGAAGACGGCCCUAUGGGUUUAAACUGCUUUUCCAGGGAGAGAACUUACGCACGUGUUGCGUGACUGACGGUACCCUGGGAAUAAGCAUCGGCUAACUCCGUGCCAGCAGCCGCGGUAAAACUGUCUACG
Molecule: ribosomal RNA, 512 nt
Filed under: uncultured bacterium
Lineage: Bacteria
Description: bacterial SSU rRNA
Rfam family: Bacterial small subunit ribosomal RNA
Source: RNAcentral